RNAcentral lists this non-coding RNA (89 nucleotides) under bovine gut metagenome. RNAcentral's name for it is "SAM riboswitch (S box leader)". It matches the Rfam family "SAM riboswitch aptamer (S box leader)". Rfam says of the family: The SAM riboswitch is found upstream of a number of genes which code for proteins involved in methionine or cysteine biosynthesis in Gram-positive bacteria. The SAM riboswitch acts at the level of transcription termination control. The record is from RNAcentral.
CUUAUCAAGAGUGGUGGAGGGAACGGCCCUGUGAAGCCCGGCAACCUGCUUAAAGCAAGGUGCCAAAUCCGGCGGUGACGAAAGAUGAG